AGGACGAACGCUGGCGGCGUGCUUAACACAUGCAAGUCGAGCGAGGCCCUUCCUUCGGGAAGGUGUCCUAGCGGCGAACGGGUGAGUAACACGUGGGCAACCUGCCCAUAGCUCUGGGAUAAGCGCUGGAAACGGCGUCUAAUACCGGAUAUGACACGGGACGGCAUCAUCUCCGUGUGGAAAGAAUUUCGGCUAUGGAUGGGCCCGCGGCCUAUCAGCUUGUUGGUGAGGUAAUGGCUCACCAAGGCUACGACGGGUAACCGGCCUGAGAGGGCGACCGGUCACACUGGGACUGAGACACGGCCCAGACUCCUACGGGAGGCAGCAGUGGGGGAAUAUUGCACAAUGGGCGAAAGCCUGAUGCAGCGACGCCGCGUGAGGGAUGAAUGCCUUCGGGUUGUAAACCUCUUUCAGUAGGGACGAAGCGAAAGUGACGGUACCUGCAGAAGAAGCGCCGGCCAACUACGUGCCAGCAGCCGCGGU
This 483-nucleotide ribosomal RNA is filed under the name uncultured bacterium. RNAcentral's name for it is "SSU rRNA". It matches the Rfam family "Bacterial small subunit ribosomal RNA", at positions 26 to 521 of the family's 1533-position model. The record is from RNAcentral.